UUGACCUCGGAUCAGGUAGGAAUACCCGCUGAACUUAAGCAUAUCAAUAAGCGGAGGAAAUCG
Molecule: ribosomal RNA, 63 nt
Filed under: Fusarium oxysporum
Lineage: Eukaryota; Fungi; Ascomycota; Sordariomycetes; Hypocreales; Nectriaceae
Description: partial 28S ribosomal RNA
Rfam family: Eukaryotic large subunit ribosomal RNA
Source: RNAcentral